AUGCAGCUGCAUAUCGCAAACGAGGUGGUUCUCCGCCUCGACAUUGCCCAGGAGCAUAGGCGGCUGUCUAGCAGCGAGCUCGACCUCCGGAAGAAGAUCAAGCUUCGCGUCCUCGGCCUGGCCGUGAUCGAGCGCUCCCGGAAGCGCCAGGCCUCGCGCAUCACUUGGCUGCGGGCCGGCGAUGCCCGGACAGCCUUCUUCCAGGCCAAGAUCAACUCCAGGAGGUAGAAAAACUUCAUCCACGCCAUUCACAUGACAGAUUCAAUCGUUACCUCCCAUGACGAUGAGGCCAAGGCUAUCCAAUAUCACUUCAGCUCCUCCCUCGGGGCGGCGCCCGUCAGGAACACCACCAUCAACUGGAGCUCGAUCAACCUGCCCUCUCUGCCGGCAGUCAGUCUAGAUAACCCUUUCUCGGAGGACGAGGUUUGGCAGGCGAUCGGCGCAUCGCCCCAAGAAAAAGCGCCUGAGCUAGAUGGAUUCAACGGAACUUUCUUCCGAACGUGCUGGCCGAUCAUCAAACUCGAUGUCAUGACGGUCUUCCACCAGUUCUAUCACCUCACAGAAGGAGACAUGGCUGCCAUCAAUCGGGCCCUGAUCGUUCUUCUCCCUAAGAAGGACGAAGCACAGCGAUCACGGACUACCGGCCGAUUAGUCUGA
Molecule: ribosomal RNA, 657 nt
Filed under: Triticum aestivum (bread wheat)
Lineage: Eukaryota; Viridiplantae; Streptophyta; Magnoliopsida; Poales; Poaceae
Description: partial small subunit ribosomal RNA
Source: RNAcentral